UUCCGGUUGAUCCUGCCGGACCUGACUGCUAUCGGAUUGAUACUAAGCCAUGUGAGUCAUUGUAGCAAUACAAGGCAGACGGCUCAGUAACACGUAGCCAACCUACCCUAUGGACGGGGAUAACCUCGGGAAACUGAGGAUAAACCCCGAUAGAUCAUAAUGCCUGGAACGGUUUAUGGUCCAAAUGAUUCGUCGCCGUAGGAUGGGGCUGCGGCCUAUCAUCUUGUUGGUGAGGUAAUGGCCCACCAAGGCUAUUACAGGUACGGGCUCUGAAAGGAGAAGCCCGGAGAUGGGUACUGAGACACGGACCCAGGCCCUAUGGGGCGCAACACGCGAGAAAACUUUGCAAUGUGCGCAAGCACGACAAGGUUAAUCCGAGUGUUUCCUGCUACAGGAAUCUUUUGCUAGCCCUAAAAACACUAUCGCACUAGGGGUGGGCAAGUUCUGGUGUCAGACGCCGCGGUAAAACCAACACCUCACCUGGUCAGGAGGAUUAUUGAGCCUAAAGCAUCACGUAGCCUGUUUUGUCAGUUUCCGGUUAAAUCCCUUAGCUCCACUGAUGGGACCCCGGAAAUACUGCAAGCUAGGGAGUGCUGAGAGGUAUACCGGACUCGGAAGGGAAAGGAUACAUCCGUUGAUCUAUUGAAGACCACAAGCGCCAAAGCGGUCUAACGAAUACGUUCCACGGUGAGCGAUCAAACUGCUAGAGCAAACGGUAUUAGAACCCAGGGUAUUCACCCCCUGUAAA
RNAcentral lists this ribosomal RNA (748 nucleotides) under uncultured archaeon. RNAcentral describes it as "bacterial SSU rRNA". It matches the Rfam family "Archaeal small subunit ribosomal RNA", at positions 1 to 757 of the family's 1478-position model. The record is from RNAcentral.